UACAGAGGGGGCAAGCGUUAUUCGGAAUUAUUGGGCGUAAAGGGCGCGUAGGCGGCUUGAUAAGUCAAAGGUGAAAUCCCUCGGCUCAACUGAGGAACUGCCUUUGAAACUGUCGGGCUUGAGGCCGGGAGGGGGUAGCGGAAUUCCCAGUGUAGCGGUGAAAUGCGUAGAUACUGGGAGGAACACCGGUGGCGAAGGCGGCUACCUGGACCGGUUCUGACGCUGAGGCGCGAAAGCGUGGGUAGCAAACAGG
Molecule: ribosomal RNA, 253 nt
Filed under: uncultured bacterium
Lineage: Bacteria
Description: partial 16S ribosomal RNA
Rfam family: Bacterial small subunit ribosomal RNA
Source: RNAcentral